This 865-nucleotide ribosomal RNA is filed under the name uncultured bacterium. RNAcentral describes it as "bacterial SSU rRNA". It matches the Rfam family "Bacterial small subunit ribosomal RNA", at positions 32 to 894 of the family's 1533-position model. The record is from RNAcentral.
GACGCUAGCGGCGGGCUUAAUACAUGCAAGUCGAGGGGCAGCAUAACACUUCGGUGUUGAUGGCGACCGGCGAACGGGUGAGUAACGCGUAUGUAACCUACCUACUACAGAGGGAUAGCCCAUGGAAACGUGGAUUAAUACCUUAUAGCACAUUUAAACUUCAUGGUUAAAAUGUUAAAGAUUUAUUGGUAGUAGAUGGACAUGCGUCUGAUUAGGUAGUUGGUGAGGUAACGGCUCACCAAGCCAACGAUCAGUAGGGGGUUUGAGAGGAUGAUCCCCCACACUGGAACUGAGACACGGUCCAGACUCCUACGGGAGGCAGCAGUAGGGAAUAUUGGUCAAUGGAGGGAACUCUGAACCAGCCACGCCGCGUGUAGGAAGAAUGUCCUUAGGAUUGUAAACUACUUUUAUCAGGGAAGAAUGACGAGCAUGCGUGCUCGGAGGGACGGUACCUGAGGAAUAAGCACCGGCUAACUACGUGCCAGCAGCCGCGGUAAUACGUAGGGUGCAAGCGUUAUCCGGAAUUACUGGGUUUAAAGGGUGUGUAGGCGGUUUUUUAAGUCUGUGGUGAAAGGUUACAGCUCAACUGUAAAAGUGCCAUGGAUACUGGAAGACUUGAGUAUUAUAAAGGAAGGUGGAAUUCGUGGUGUAGCGGUGAAAUGCAUAGAUACCACGAGGAAGGCCGAUUGCGAAGGUAGCUUUCUGGAUAAUAACUGACGCUAAAACACGAAAGCGUGGGGAGCGAACAGGAUUAGAUACCCUGGUAGUCCACGCCGUAAACGAUGGAUACUCGGUGUGUGGUCUUCGGACUGCGUGCCUUAGCGAAAGCGUUAAGUAUCCCACCUGGGGAGUACGUCGGCAACGA